RNAcentral lists this ribosomal RNA (464 nucleotides) under uncultured bacterium. Its description in RNAcentral is "bacterial SSU rRNA". It matches the Rfam family "Bacterial small subunit ribosomal RNA", at positions 330 to 792 of the family's 1533-position model. The record is from RNAcentral.
GCCAGACUCCUACGGGAGGCAGCAGUGAGGAAUAUUGGUCAAUGGCCGCAGGGCUGAACCAGCCAAGUCGCGUGAGGGAAGACGGUCCUAUGGAUUGUAAACCUCUUUUGUCGGGGAGCAAAAGACGCCACGCGUGGCGUUCCGAGAGUACCCGAAGAAAAAGCAUCGGCUAACUCCGUGCCAGCAGCCGCGGUAAUACGGAGGAUGCGAGCGUUAUCCGGAUUUAUUGGGUUUAAAGGGUGCGUAGGCGGACCGUCAAGUCAGCGGUAAAAAUGCGGGGCUAAACGCCGUACAGCCGUUGAAACUGCCGUUCUUGAGUGAGCGAGAAGUAUGCGGAAUGCGUGGUGUAGCGGUGAAAUGCAUAGAUAUCACGCAGAACUCCGAUUGCGAAGGCAGCAUACCGGCGCUCAACUGACGCUGAAGCACGAAGGCGUGGGUAUCGAACAGGAUUAGAUACCCUCGUA